UGGGGUAGAGAAAAAAAAUGUCAAUUAAGUACUCAUACGACCAAAACUUCUGAUAUGAUGUUUAAUUUAUGCAAGGAAUGCAACCAACCUUUCUGUGUGAGGACUCAAUUUUCAAUGGGAUUGACAUUGCUGAAAGUUUAUAUGACAUCCUAACAAUCGAAGUGUCUACUCAAUCUAUAUACGAUGGUAAUGGCUUGUUUCGCUAAAAUAUAGUGGCUUAUUUUGAAUUGAAGGAAGCACGAUCAGGAUCAUUGAUGACGUUAUUU
This 266-nucleotide long non-coding RNA is filed under the name Setaria italica (foxtail millet). RNAcentral describes it as "long non-coding RNA (SITA_LNC002209)". The record is from RNAcentral. Lineage: Eukaryota; Viridiplantae; Streptophyta; Magnoliopsida; Poales; Poaceae.